ACGAACGCUGGCGGCGUGCCUAAUCCAUGCAAGUAGAACGCACAGUUUAUACCGUAGCUUGCUACACCAUAGACUGUGAGUUGCGAACGGGUGAGUAACGCGUAGGUAACCUGCCUGGUAGCGGGGGAUAACUAUUGGAAACGAUAGCUAAUACCGCAUAAUAUUGAUUAUUGCAUGAUAAUUGAUUGAAAGAUGCUAUUGCAUCACUACCAGAUGGACCUGCGUUGUAUUAGCUAGUAGGUGAGGUAACGGCUCACCUAGGCGACGAUACAUAGCCGACCUGAGAGGGUGAUCGGCCACACUGGGACUGAGACACGGCCCAGACUCCUACGGGAGGCAGCAGUAGGGAAUCUUCGGCAAUGGACGAAAGUCUGACCGAGCAACGCCGCGUGAGUGAAGAAGGUUUUCGGAUCGUAAAGCUCUGUUGUAAGAGAAGAACGGGUGUGAGAGUGGAAAGUUCACACUGUGACGGUAUCUUACCAGAAAGGGACGGCUAACUACGUG
This 504-nucleotide ribosomal RNA is filed under the name uncultured bacterium. Its description in RNAcentral is "partial 16S ribosomal RNA". It matches the Rfam family "Bacterial small subunit ribosomal RNA", at positions 29 to 507 of the family's 1533-position model. The record is from RNAcentral.